This 253-nucleotide ribosomal RNA is filed under the name uncultured bacterium. Its description in RNAcentral is "partial 16S ribosomal RNA". It matches the Rfam family "Bacterial small subunit ribosomal RNA", at positions 524 to 776 of the family's 1533-position model. The record is from RNAcentral.
UACAGAGGUCCCAAGCGUUGUUCGGAUUCACUGGGCGUAAAGGGUGCGUAGGUGGCGCCGUAAGUCGGGUGUGAAAUUUCGGAGCUUAACUCCGAAACUGCAUUCGAUACUGCGGUGCUUGAGGACUGGAGAGGAGACUGGAAUUCAUGGUGUAGCAGUGAAAUGCGUAGAGAUCAUGAGGAAGACCAGUGGCGAAGGCGGGUCUCUGGACAGUUCCUGACACUGAGACACGAAGGCCAGGGGAGCAAACGGG